This is a long non-coding RNA of Gopherus evgoodei (Goodes thornscrub tortoise), 133 nucleotides long. RefSeq lists it as uncharacterized. NCBI's taxonomy places the organism in Eukaryota, Metazoa, Chordata, Testudines, Testudinidae. The record is from RefSeq and is a predicted model, not a curated record. The transcript is spliced from 4 exons.
UUUCGCAGUGUCUGCUGGUGCAGCUUCUGUAGGGACUAAUCCUCCCUACUCUGGUCGGGUGCGGCGCUGGACCGGGGUUGUGUCCGGGCUCUUCACGUAGAGCCGCCGCCUCCUCGCUGCCUCCUUGCUUCUC